RNAcentral lists this ribosomal RNA (253 nucleotides) under uncultured bacterium. RNAcentral's name for it is "partial 16S ribosomal RNA". It matches the Rfam family "Bacterial small subunit ribosomal RNA", at positions 524 to 776 of the family's 1533-position model. The record is from RNAcentral.
UACGAAGGGGGCUAGCGUUGCUCGGAAUUACUGGGCGUAAAGCGCCCGUAGGCGGCUUGUUAAGUCGGGGGUGAAAUCCUGGAGCUCAACUCCAGAACUGCCUUCGAUACUGGCGAUCUAGAGUCCGGGAGAGGUGAGUGGAACUGCGAGUGUAGAGGUGAAAUUCGUAGAUAUUCGCAAGAACACCAGUGGCGAAGGCGGCUCACUGGCCCGGUACUGACGCUGAGGUGCGAAAGCGUGGGGAGCAAACAGG